AAAACGACUCUCGGCAACGGAUAUCUCGGCUCACGCAUCGAUGAAGAACGUAGCAAAAUGCGAUACUUGGUGUGAAUUGCAGAAUCCCGUGAACCAUCGAGUUUUUGAACGCAAGUUGCGCCCGAAGCCAUCCGGUUGAGGGCACGUCUGCCUGGGCGUCACGCAUCACGUCG
This 173-nucleotide ribosomal RNA is filed under the name Helianthus debilis subsp. cucumerifolius. RNAcentral describes it as "5.8S ribosomal RNA". It matches the Rfam family "5.8S ribosomal RNA". Rfam says of the family: 5.8S ribosomal RNA (5.8S rRNA) is a component of the large subunit of the eukaryotic ribosome. The record is from RNAcentral. Lineage: Eukaryota; Viridiplantae; Streptophyta; Magnoliopsida; Asterales; Asteraceae.